RNAcentral lists this ribosomal RNA (497 nucleotides) under uncultured bacterium. RNAcentral's name for it is "partial 16S ribosomal RNA". It matches the Rfam family "Bacterial small subunit ribosomal RNA", at positions 28 to 507 of the family's 1533-position model. The record is from RNAcentral.
GAUGAACGCUGGCGGCGUGCCUAAUACAUGCAAGUCGAGCGAACGGACGAGAAGCUUGCUUCUCUGAUGUUAGCGGCGGACGGGUGAGUAACACGUGGAUAACCUACCUAUAAGACUGGGAUAACUUCGGGAAACCGGAGCUAAUACCGGAUAAUAUUUUGAACCGCAUGGUUCAAAAGUGAAGGACGGUCUUGCUGUCACUUAUAGAUGGAUCCGCGCUGCAUUAGCUAGUUGGUAAGGUAACGGCUUACCAAGGCAACGAUGCAUAGCCGACCUGAGAGGGUGAUCGGCCACACUGGAACUGAGACACGGUCCAGACUCCUACGGGAGGCGGCAGUAGGGAAUCUUCCGCAAUGGGCGAAAGCCUGACGGAGCAACGCCGCGUGAGUGAUGAAGGUCUUCGGAUCGUAAAACUCUGUUAUUAGGGAAGAACAUAUGUGUAAGUAACUGUGCACAUCUUGACGGUACCUAAUCAGAAAGCCACGGCUAACUACGUG